This is a long non-coding RNA of Setaria italica (foxtail millet), 1981 nucleotides long. RefSeq lists it as uncharacterized. Lineage: Eukaryota; Viridiplantae; Streptophyta; Magnoliopsida; Poales; Poaceae. The transcript is spliced from 5 exons. The record is from RefSeq and is a predicted model, not a curated record.
UUAGGAGGUAAAAUAGUUGAAUCGCAGAUAUUGAUUUGCGAUUCAAAUUAGGAGCUUUUAGUGGGUUUAUAUAAAGUUUGACCGUCAACUCCGGGUAGCAAGCUGCGAACUCGCCUGCCGAGACCGACACCGUGCGCGGGGAUGGGGGAUUAGCCUAAACCCUAAACCUUGAAGUCGCCCGGUGUCGCUGGCAUCCAUCGAGGCAAUUUCGACCGAGCAAUCUUCACCAUUACCGGAAUGUGCAAGAGAAAUGUUUCCGGAAAAUAGGCAUUCGCUCCCAUUGAGUCCCCUGAGUAUUGGAUUGCUUUAUCUGCGAAUCCUUCUAUUUGCGAGGUUUGUGAGGUAAAUAAUCCAAUCUGGGGCUGCUAUGAAGUCACAUGAAUCGAUACGUCUCAACUACAGAGAAUAUGAACACUGGAAGUAUGAGAAGUUUGUUAGUUUUGUUGACAACCUGUUGCUCCUCCGUGAUCGAGUAGACUUGCAUAUUUUCCAGCUGCAUUUUGAUAGCCACCAUGUGGUAAACUGCAAUGAUGUGAGGACGUGGAUUGGUUAUGCGGUGAAGAAUAAUGUUAAAGUGCUAGAUGUGAACAUGGAUCGGUAUGAUAAGACUGUUUUACCUCGUUGCAUUUUCACCUGCCGCUCGCUCAAGGAGUUAAAUCUGAAGAUGGGAAAGGCUCCUUAUAAAGAUUAUGAACAUGAGGGACUUGUGCUACCUGACAUCAUCAGGCUUCCAUCCCUCAAAAAUUUGACUCUCUGUGAUGUGGAGUAUACAUCAUCUCUUGAGCAAAUAAUUGCUCGGAGCCCUGGCCUAGAGGAUUUGCAUUUGAUAAACUGUGCACAGCAUCUUGAGCUUGUAGAAUCAAAAGUGCUAAAGAGGCUAACUGUUGAUGGUUUCCUAGGUCGAGACAAAGGACUCACAAUUGCUGCCCCUAGUCUCAUUCACUUCAAGUGCACAGGCUUGCCGCUGGAAGAGAUUUCUUGGUGAGAGCGGCCAUCGCUAGAGAGUGCACACAUAUUCGCUUCUCUUUCUAGGAGCACUUUUGAUGGUCAAUCUGAUUUACUGGGAUCUUUUUGCAUGCCAAGAGACUUGCAUUAUUUGGUUCCGAUAUAAAGGUUAUGUUGGAAAAGGAACUGCCCACAUGCUCUGUAUUUGAGAGUCCCGUAACUCUCGCAAUUGGUGAAUGGUGCUUAACUUAUGACUUGUACGUUGUACUUCGCUUCCUCCAGCUUUCACCGAGACUAGAAAAACUUACCUUAAAGCAUAGAAAGCUUAACAGAGAAACAGAAGGUGCAGAAACAGAACCAAUAUCACUGGAAUAACCUUCCAAUGCCCACUCCUUGAAACAGUAAUAGUACAAUGUUCCAAGGAUGAUGGCGAAAUUCAGAAGACGGUGGAUGCUUUGGUAGCGACUGGCAUCAGCUUGGAGAAGAUACAUGUCACUUUCUAUGAAGACAUCCGAAAGAACCUAGCUGAGAGGAAGCGUGGGAGACAGGAAGGGAAGACGGGACGAAGCAUCUUAGAGAAGAAAUUGAAGAGAAGACAAGAUUGGGUUGAUGAUAGUCAUGCGAUAAGUGACAAUGAUAACAACGGCGACGAGAUGGAGGAAGCCUGUGGCUAUGAAUACGAUCCUGAUGAUUUCUAGAGCUCAGCAGGGUGUGUUGCUGUUUCUAAAGCUCAGCAUGACCCCCUUCGCCCUGGAUUUUCCAGAGCUAAGUUCUGAAACUUAGGGUUGCUGACUUAAUUUUAGUGUAGCCUAUUCGUGAACCUAAUGUGGCUGACGUAAAAGUAGUCGGUUAUGUGCUGUUGCUGGACCACAUGACAUGGUUAUUCGCACUGUUCUGUUUUCAGCAUAGUUGCAUAGACAGCGUCUUGAUUAGGCACCUGCUGCUCGGCAGAUGUACUCCUAUCUUGAACCGUUAGUCUAUGAGUCUGUAAUUGCCUGGUUGUGUGCUCUGUGAUAUCUUCAGCCUUCAUUCGUCA